UAAGAAAUAUUUUGGAGUGGUGCAGUAUUCUAGUCAGUCUCCCAUUCCUGAAGGCGGGCCUAAAAAUCCGCCAAAGGGCACAUCGAUGAAGUUCCUGGUGCCGGCUUGAGGCGCCCAGCCUUGGGUUGACGCUGGGAGUUAAGGUCGCAGGGCGAUCCACAAUGGCAUGUGGGCGAUGACCCUGCUUCCGCGGAGGCCCCCAUCUUUGCGGCUUGUGUUCUAAUACCUUGCUGUGAAAUGGGGUUUGAACCUGUUUUUGUUCUGCUCAAUCCUUGAGCGGAAACAAGCAGCGUAGCCUGCCUUGAGUGGAGUUUGAGGGGAUUAUGGACAUGGAAACGGGUGACGGUUGGCCGCUGGAUCUUUGUUUAUGCCAUAUGAAAUCAGCUCUGCAAAAGAGGCUAGGGAAAUGGGGAAGGGCUGUUGAGGAAAACUCCUAGACUGUUCCCACCGACAUUCAAAAAGGAUUAUAGUGCGGACUAAGUGGCAAUCCAGUCUAACGCCAGGCGACUGCGUUAAGGAGGAAGUAAAGGGAAACCGCGAAUUUGGCGACAAAUUCGUUUCCUCUUGGGAAAACCUACUGGACCUAAGCCGCAGCGUUUACUUUUUGAAUGACCACUCCUCAUACAUAAUUC
This 632-nucleotide small RNA is filed under the name Fictibacillus enclensis. The record is from RNAcentral. Lineage: Bacteria; Bacillati; Bacillota; Bacilli; Caryophanales; Fictibacillaceae.